Python bivittatus (Burmese python) is the source of this 1186-nucleotide long non-coding RNA. RefSeq lists it as uncharacterized. The record is from RefSeq and is a predicted model, not a curated record. NCBI's taxonomy places the organism in Eukaryota, Metazoa, Chordata, Lepidosauria, Squamata, Pythonidae.
CAAGUUCUUCAUCCUGUUAAGGGAAGGCAAAGAGAGGAGGGAGCAUAUUCAACGUGAUGCCAAGACUAAACAGUGAAUAAACGAAGAGGCCAAACAGACAGUGGGCAGUGGGAGAAUUCACACAGGGAUGAAUGGAAGAGGUGAUGAUAAGUGCUUGAAUUCUUCAGGAUAGAAUCAAGGCAGCUGUCUUUGAUUCUUCUGGAGGCACUGUAGUGGGGAGUUUGCUCGCUCUAGAAUAUUCACUCCUCUCUGUGAGAUGGCCAAGCCUUUUGAGAUAUUUACUUACUGCUGGUCUAACCCAUGAAGAGAUGCAUAUCAGUAUUGACAAAGAAUUAUCCCACAUGCAAAUGUUAUCUAAGUUUGUUCAAAACAGGUUUGCCUUAGACAAUGUCAUGGAGCUGGAUUUCUGAUGCCUCUAAACAAUUUCAUUCUCUCUUUGUUAAGCAUCAGAAGGAUAUGAUCUCAAACUGUCACCUGAGCCCAAAUGGCGAGGAAGAUUUACAGAACUCAACUCAUAAGGAAGCCAGGAGUCCUCUGCCCAUUUCGGCUCUUGGCAAAUUCAGCUGAUCAAUAUCACUUUUUGGAUGUAGAGUAUGGCAUAUUGUCAUUAGUUUCCUUGUUUUCCAUCCAAGCUAUCAAGUUCCAUCUGUGUCCAGUCAACUAUUCCUGCUGUAUAUUGUAUAAUGGGGACUGCCCAGGUAUUGAUUGCUUUGAUGAUGUUUCCACCAUUUAGUUCUGAUUUCAAAAUUUUUCAAACUCAUUCUUUCCAUCCCUUUCCUGCAACUAAAGGUUAAAUUUUAUCUUCAUUGUGUAAGGGAAUGCCAGCAGCUGAAGCAAAAUUUAAGAAUCUUACAUUUGUCAGACUAUUUUAUGUUUGCUUGUUUUAGAAUUUUAAUUGGAUGGAUUAUGUUCCAAAGCAAAAUUAAGUGGGGAGAACAUAACACGUUAUGAAAGAAGAUGGCAAAGAAAGAAACCUUAAAAAUUUCUGUACAUUGAAAGCAGGCAGAAUCUAUCUAUCUCAAAUAUGAAAUGAAAACCAGAGUAUCACUGUCUAACAUGUCCUAUCAUUCCUGUUUUCCACAGACUUUUGAAAAUAAUGUGGUUCCUUUUAAUAAAAGCUGGAUAACAUUUUGUGAUUCCAGUCACUCUUAAUUCUUUCCCUGCCUCCCCAUUUCCUCCAGGGAGC